RNAcentral lists this transfer RNA (82 nucleotides) under Candidatus Jorgensenbacteria bacterium GWA1_54_12. Its description in RNAcentral is "tRNA-Leu". It matches the Rfam family "tRNA". From Rfam's summary of the family: Transfer RNA (tRNA) molecules are approximately 80 nucleotides in length. The record is from RNAcentral. Lineage: Bacteria; Candidatus Joergenseniibacteriota.
GCCCGGGUGCUGGAACUGGUAUACAGGGAAGGCUUAAAACUUUCUGGAGCAAUCCAUGUGGGUUCGACUCCCACCCCGGGCA